Molecule: long non-coding RNA, 3532 nt
Organism: Triticum aestivum (bread wheat)
Lineage: Eukaryota; Viridiplantae; Streptophyta; Magnoliopsida; Poales; Poaceae
Exons: 3
Source: RefSeq, a predicted model, not a curated record
GCGUGAGUCCACUCCACUCCACUCGCUGCAAGUGCACGCAGCGGCGGCGCCCUGCUCGACUCAACGCCUCCGGUGCUUCCAGCUUCCGACGCGCCGCCGCUAAUGCCGAUAGAGUGAUAGGCCCCCCAAUCCCCCACCAUGGAUUCGCCUCCGCCGCAACGCGGCCGCCAUUCGCCGCCGGCGCUGCCCGACGACGACGGCAUGCUCUGCAUCUUUCUCCGCAUCCCGCCGGACGACCCCGCGCGCCUCGUCUGCAAGGGCUGGCGCCGCACCCUAGCCGACCCUCAGUUCUGCCGCCUCUACCGCGAGUUCAACGGCGCACCACCCGUGCUCGGUUUGGUCGUCAACACCGGGGAUGUGGAAUUGUGGAUAGUCCCCGCUGCCGCUUCAUCCCCACCACAUCCUUCCGCCUCCCAGGCCCCGACCGCUACCCUUGCAGCUGGAAGGCGGUCGACUCCCGCCACGGACGCAUCCUCUUAGAGGAUAUGGGUUCAGGAGGAUUCGUCGUCUGGGACCCCAUCACCAACGGCCAUUGGGGAAUGAAAUUCCCCAGUGUGAAUCGCCAACGCUGGACUGGCGCAGUGCUUUGUGCCAAGGAGGGCUGCGACCACCUGGGCUGCCAUGGACCGUCUUUCCUCGUCGCCUUCGUGAGUUGCAUAUAUCAGAAUAAUACCGUGACCACGUCCGCUUGUGUCUACUCAUCCGAGUUUGGUGUGUGGAGCCGCAUGAUCUCCGUGGAGCACCCGAAGCGCGUCAAUAACACCGUGCGUAGCAUCCUUGUGGGAAGUACACUCUACUUUCCCUUUGACAGAAGUUUCAGCGUUCUGGAGUACAAGUUGGGCGAGCAGAAACUGUCUAUCAUCAAUGGUCCGUCCGUGGACCGAAGGCAACGCCAUGUGCUCAUAUCGGCCGAGGACGGUGUGCUCAUGUUUGCGGGCAUGCGAGGGUCUAAGCUCUACCUGUGGUCAACUGUGGUCGGUCCUGACGGAUCUUCGGCAUGGGCGCAGCACAGGGUCAUCGAGCUCGAAAAGCUGCUACCCCCUAUUGCUUUCACGCCCAAACCCCAUUCGGGUGUGCCCCAUGAGUCUGGACCCAAUGUGUCUGGCUUCGCAGAUGGUAUCAUCUUCUUGAGUACAAUGGCUGGAUUAUUUACUGUUGAGCUCAAUUCAGGCCGAACCAAGAAGGUUGCGGAAGAAAAAAUGGCUCUCCAAGUCACUCCCAUCAUAAGCUUCUACACUCAAGAACGCACUGGGGUCAGGCUGCCACUGCCAUGACAUGGAUCAUCCAUCCAUCAACAUGAACCUGCUGCUGUUUUCCAAUGAUGAAUUCUGGAGCUUCCUGAAUAUUGGCUAAGUUUCUUUGGAGAAAUGUUGGAGCCUUCUGGGCGUAUGACGUUAAGUAUUGAACUUUUGACUUGGUUUCAAAGGAACAACAGCUUUCUAGUCGGUUUGUUGCUUUCAGAGGAACGGCAGCUUUCUAUUCAAGUAUUCAGUUAGUCCAGUGUGACCAUAUAAAUAUAAGAUUUCUCAUUCCGUUACAAUGCGUGACUAAGUGUUUGCAUUGUGUUGUGACUGAGACGUGCUCAUUUGUGUUGUAAUGCUCUUGGUAGCGCAAAAGUAUGAAUGAAUAUGCAGAGUUCGACAUAAUUUGGGAUCAUGCAUACAUAGUGAGAGAAGGCUAGUGAACAAACCAUGGCUUGAGAAUUUUGGAAAUCCAAGUCAAUUAACUUUACCUCUACAUUCUAGCCUGCAAAUCCAUGUAUCAUUCAGAGCUAACACAUAGGCAAGGCUUCAAUAUUCAGUCAUCUAUCGAAUUUAUAGUAUACUCAAUCCACCUGCACUGCAUACAUAACCUUUUUUCCCCAUAAAACUAUUGUGGGAAAUUACAAAUCUAAUGGCAUCCCAAACUGCUGGGACCCAGCACGACAGUGCUGAGGUUAUUCCAUGGGUUUUGUCCAUCCUAGCAUGUACUUAGUGGCAUGAUCGUGCGGUGUGAGUAUUCUUUGUAAUCGCAAUAAACGGUUAGUGUCCUAGGAACUUUGAUACAUUCUCGUGUCUUUUGCAAAAAGAAGUAUAAAUAUGUGUGUCAUGAUGAUAGAUACGAUGUAUAAUGGACAUCAGUGCACCUUCGCACUUCGCCAUGUAAUUAGAUUCUGAAGUUUCCGCGGCAGACCACCACACACGGUGUUUAGGAAUUUUUGCUCAUAGCCGAGUGUUUGGGUUCAAGAGUUGCCAACGCGGCAUGUAACUUUUAAGCGCCAAGGAGUUUGAGUUAUUUCCAUUUGUCCCCAGUUGGGUAGUUGAGGCCUUGAGGGUUGAAAUUGACUAGAGUAAAUUGUUGAUAUGCUAUCAUGCCAUUGGUGAAAAGAAGUCUGCGUAUGUGUUAUUAUUAUUAUUUUAGAUUCAAGGGAUCGUGGGAACCAACCUGUGGUUUGAUGGUUAGAGGGACUGUGGUAUCCUCAGCCCACCAGGGUUCAAGUCCUGGUGCUCGCAUUUAUUCCUGAAUUUAUUUCAUGAUUUAACGGUGACUUCGUAAAUUUCAAGAUGAUAUGCCGGCUCAGUCUUUCGGAGGUGCUCAUAGGGGUAGGGUGUGCCUGUGUGCGUUCAUAGGAGUGAGUGUAUGCGCGUAUAUAUGAGCGCUUGCGUCCAUGUGGGUAGAUGCUGAAGUUUCUGUGGCACACAACACCAAACACUACCAUUUUGGAGCUUUUGCACAUAGCUUAGAUUGCUGCAGUGUUUAAAUUUGAGAGUUGCCAAUGUGGCAUGCCAUUUCUAAAUGCCCCCAUUUUUAAAGACACGACAAACUACCGUCGUUUCAUAUAUUAAGUGGGGAGAGGGCGACAAAAGCGUUCAUGAUCAAUUGAUCAUGGUGGUUACAAGAUUUUGGUGAAACAUUUCGCCUGGCGAUGCGGAUCCCUGGAGGACUAGCCUGGAUCCCCAAGUGGUGUCUCUAGGCAUUUGCCCCCCCGUGAUUUUCCAGUAGUCCAUAUCCUGUCUAAUCGCCUUAACAAUUUCUGUGAUCUGAAUCUCUUUCUGUCUAAAUGUGCGGUUGUUCCUUUCUACCCAGAUAUGCCAAGAGACCAGGAACAUCAUGGUUUUCAGCUUCGCCUUGAGGUUUGCUCUUGACAGUUGAAGCAUGUUGUGCACUCGUUGAGCAGAGGAGGUGUUGUUGUCCUCGGCAGCAACAAGUGAAGAAAGUUUUUCGUAGCCUGGCCAGGUGGAAACACGACGCCAAAUCUCCUUUGACACCGGGCAUUCCCCGAAGAGGUGAGUAGAGGUCUCUAAAUUCCACCUGCACAGCGGGCAGAAGGACCCAUUUUCUCAGCCAUCGCAUUGUAGCCUAUCAUUGCACCAUAGCCUAUCUUGUAGCAUCACCAAGAAGAAGAAAUUUGAUCUUGCCAGGGGCCAGGUUUUCCAGAUUAGCAUCUUGUUGUCUGUUUUUGGCAGGGUAUCAAACUGCAACUUGUAGGCAGAGCUGGGUAGUGUAAGAACAUGAGCUGCUCAGACCCCAGGUGAUCUGAUCUUCAACAUGC